Molecule: ribosomal RNA, 448 nt
Filed under: uncultured bacterium
Lineage: Bacteria
Description: SSU rRNA
Rfam family: Bacterial small subunit ribosomal RNA
Source: RNAcentral
AGAGCGAACGCUGGCGGCAGGCCUAACACAUGCAAGUCGAGCGCGUGUAGCAAUACACGAGCGGCAGACGGGAGAGUAACACGUGGGAACGCGCCCUUCGGUUCGGAAUAACUCGGGGAAACUUGAGCUAAUACCGGAUACGCCCUUACGGGGAAAGAUUUAUUGCCGAAGGAACGGCCCGCGUCCGAUUAGCUAGUUGGUGAGGUAACGGCUCACCAAGGCGACGAUCGGUAGCUGGUCUGAGAGGAUGACCAGCCUCACUGGGACUGAGACACGGCCCAGACUCCUACGGGAGGCAGCAGUGGGGAAUAUUGGACAAUGGGCGCAAGCCUGAUCCAGCCAUGCCGCGUGGAUGAUGAAGGCCUUAGGGUUGUAAAGUCCUUUUAACGGGGAAGAUAAUGACGGUACCCGUAGAAUAAGCCCCGGCUAACUUCGUGCCAGCAGCCGC